Molecule: microRNA precursor, 185 nt
Filed under: Oryza rufipogon (brownbeard rice)
Lineage: Eukaryota; Viridiplantae; Streptophyta; Magnoliopsida; Poales; Poaceae
Description: MIR812 microRNA precursor family
Rfam family: MIR812 microRNA precursor family
Source: Rfam by way of RNAcentral
UAGAUGUGACGACCGGAAAAAUACGAAUAUUUAUAUUAGUUAUAGAUUAGUAUUUUUUUUGUUAUUAGAUAAUAAAACAUGAAUAAUAUUUUAUGUGUGGUUAAUUCUUUUUAACUUUUUCAUAAAUUUCUCAAAUAAGACAGACGGCCAAACGUUGGACACGGAUACCCACGGCUACACUUAUU